Molecule: long non-coding RNA, 2213 nt
Organism: Thunnus maccoyii (southern bluefin tuna)
Lineage: Eukaryota; Metazoa; Chordata; Actinopteri; Scombriformes; Scombridae
Exons: 2
Source: RefSeq, a predicted model, not a curated record
GUCAUCAUUUGGACCAUAUAGCAAGCCAAAAUAUGCGAGCAGAAUGGCAGAUUUGAACGCAUUUCAAGGCAACGUCUAGAGAACAAUGUGUUGGGUUGCCCAUUAAUGUUUGUAUUAUUGCUACAGUUUCAUGCUGGCAUCCCCCCCAACCACAUACACAAACACACACACACACACACCAGCUUACAGUAUAACUGACACUUGUGUUUACUGACACACACUCUCUCUCUAAGUUAAAUUCGGAAAAAUCUGGAAAAAACCUGUCCAUAGCUUAGGAGGGCAGUAUACUGUAAGUAUGAGUACCGCUGGCUAAGCCUUUAAAGUAAAUGCACGGUAUUCAACAUGAGAAAAUCACUAAAACUUACCUUAGUGCAACUGAAUUUGUUUGAGAGAAUAGUAGCAAUUCUACUGCCUCUUUUAUUCUUCCUAACUGAAUGAAAGAAACUGUAGCUGGGUGGACAGGUUUCAACAAGGACAGCAGCACCAUCAGAGCUGAGCCACAUCUCUACAAGAAAUAAUAAGUGUUAUGCUUGUCGGAGAUCAAAUCAUUGAUUGAAAAGGGCUUUGUGUUGAGUGAUCCUACAUUAAGUAAGGCCAUGUUAGUAUUAGAUAGAACUGACUGUUGUUGAAUUUGGGGAGGAGCAGCAGUAAUAUUAUUUGGAUUUCUGAAAUUGUUCUGUCUACGUAAUCUUGUCCUAAUAAUUGGAAUUAUGGGCAUCGAGAGCAUCAGGGCACCAGGGGGGAGCUGGGAACUUUGUGCCUGAAUGAAACGAUGGCAGUAGUGUGGAGAAGUCAGCUUGCAGUUUGAGACCGGUAGUAACUAGAGCCUUCUUGGCUGUCUGGACAUGUGGCGGAGGAUGGUCAGACUGUAGGAAUGUUAAAAUCUGCAUAAAAUAUGUUGUGUGUUAAAUUACUGUAUGUGCACCCAGUCUGCUAGGAUGGACAGCAUCCCUUAGAUAAAAGGAUGGACGAUUCCAAAAGAGGAUAAAAUUGUCAAUGAAAACCACCGUGCUGUGCACUGUGCAGGAAGACUGGAGCCAUGUAUGGACGCUAAGGAUCCGGCUGAAAUGAUGCUUUGGGGAAGUGGAGGGAUAGGUCCAGAGAUAAAGAUACGCUUGCCGCAGUCAUUAAGCGAGUGAAGGAGCCUGCUAAAAUCCCAUUUUAAAAUCUCAGAAGUCUGGUUGGAAACUUCAUUGCGGUUGAUGCAGUCGUUGGGGGGGCUGGGGGUGAUGGAGAUCUGCUGGACUCACAUAAUAUCAGGUUCUCAGCCAGAGGAGGGAAUUCAUUUGCUGACCACAACCCAGGGCUCAGGAUGUGAUGGAGUAGAAUAGGCUUUGGGUUUAGCCCCGAGCUGCAGCCAGUGGUCCUCAGGGACGGAGACUGGAGAAGGAACAGAAGCAACGGCUGGAGCAGCGUCAGCAGGACGGGGAGCAGUGACACCCUUCUCUUCAGCACUAGUAGCGGUCUCUUGUGCAGGGCCGAAGAUGAUAGUGUCCAAGUGCCUCUCAGCUUCCGCCGACUCAGCAAUCUUCUUACUGAGGCAGAGGCAGCUCUCGCAUGUAUCUCGAUGACUAACAUCCCAAAGAAAUAGUUAAAAACGAGCAGGAUCUAAAAAGUGAAAUCAUAAAAAUUUGGCUAAAAACUGGAUUAAAAGUCAAUUUAAGAGAGAGAGAGAGCUUCUGGCGGUUCAAACGCAACGCCGACGCAUGCGUAUGGUUUUCCCACAACAAAGUGAAAACAAAUGAACAGCCGCUGAGUGAGGUUGGCAGGUUGACAGAAACAGACUCACAGAUGCAUUAAAGCUUUAACGAGAACAAACAAGCAACAAACUGAAAGAAAACAGUGUCAGCUGUCAGUGAGAGUUUGAGAUAAAUCUUCAAAAUCUGCCCUCAGAUUCUUUAAACCGAUGCUCCGUGUUGCUGCUCGGACCAAUAGCAGUUGGACAACGACAGGGUCAAAAACCAGAUUUAAUUUUGGAUCAUAGCCAUAUAUACAGUAAGUGGACUGAAAGCAGGCUAGAUGAGUGCCAAAGCAGGCCAAAGAGGGCCAAAUACAAAACAAAAAUGGAAAAAAAAAAACGCAGAAGAAAUUUGUCUCUGUUUUUUCUGUGUUGAAGGCCACAAGUCCUGGACUGAAUCCAGCUAUUAAAUAUUUAUUUCUUAUAUAAUUUGCCUAUACUGAAUACAUAAGGCAUUACAGAUUCAUACAUCAAA